CCCGCGGCCACCACUUCCUGAGAGCCGGGGAUACCCCUCCCGGACGUCACGGAGGAGCCGGGGCGGCGGUGGCGGCCCGGGGCUCAUCCUGAAUUUGCAUCACGGGUGCUGCAGCAGCUGCUCGGCUCCUUUGUGGCUUUUCCCUCCCUGUUGAGUAACUACUUUGUUAACUGAAAAUACCAUGACGGGCCAGUCUGAUCACCAGCUCCAGACCUCAAAGAAAGUGAAGCUGUCGGGCAAGCCAAGGGGAGACUCCCCCAGCCGGCUGCGGUGGUAUCUGGUGGGUGGGUGGGUGUGUUAAGAGAAGCACUUGACAGUUUCCACGUAUUACUUCUUGCCUAACUCUUCACCCUCAAGAAGGUUUAAAAAUACUUUUUAUUUCCAUGCUGUAAAAAGAAAAAAAAUCUCAUCUGUGUUCUGCACACCAUCCAUUCCUCUCCCACCACCCCUUCCUUUCAAUUUCAGAAAUCUCGUGCAGAACUGGAAUCAGCUCGACCCCUAAAAGAGUCCUUGCGUUGCUCCUUGUUUUUUUUAACUCUUUCCUGUCAGGGUCGUCACGCAGGUAAAGAAUGAUGAUCACUCCUAUGAACAAGGAAAGACCAAAUCCAAAUUCCAAAGCAGAAGUUACUACCUAAGGAAAGAAGAACUAGGUCUGACAGUAGAUCAGGAUCCACCUGUUGGGGAAAACCCAAAAUAGGAGGAAGAGGUUAUUGAUGGCUCAUUCUUAUCUGAGAAAAAAAAUCAGUAUGGAAUAAUUGAGGUCAGUUAGAGAAAGAAUUAUGAUUACUGCUGAGGAUCAAACCCAGAACCUUAUGCAUUCUGGGUAAUGCUGUACAAUUGAGCUCCAUGCCUCUGUCUAUGCUUUUAUUAUUAUUUUUACUGGUAUUGGGAUUUCGCUUGCUCAGCUUUCUUGCUCAGCUGGUGUUCUACCACUUGACCUAUGCCUCUAGCCUACGUUUUUUUUUUUUAAAUAACUUUUGAUAGACAGCUAUUCAGAUGAAUGUAAAUAUCAGUUGUAAAAUAGUAAACAGAAUGGCAGGGUGGUUAUGAUUUAUUGUUAUGGAAAAAAGUGUAUUCAAAAGUAUGGACAGUGUAGUCUCUUCUAAAUAAAGAGCACAUACAAAAAUAUAAUGGUUUGUUUGUGGUCUUUUACAUAUAUACUUAUCUUUUUAUAGUGAGCAUAGGCCAUCUUUAAAAAUGUAAAGAAAUUUUAAAAAAUGAUAAAAAAUAAACUCAGUGAAACUUAAUGGUUCUUGUUGGCCCUGCCAUGAACCCUUCUCCUAUUUCUCCUAUCAAAAUUAAUGAAUACCUCCAUUUUCUCUCCAUGCUCCAUUUUUCACUCAUUUGUCACAUUUAAUUUCAUUUUGGUGUACAGAUUUGGUUUACCUACAGUGUGCAUUCUUACAGUAUUUGCAUCAUUGGUUCAUCAUUUCUUUUUGUGGCAGAAGUAAUAUUUUUCUUAUAGCAGGUGUGCAGUAGCAAUUGAGUUAGCAUGUAAAACUGGGAGCACAAUGAGUAAAUAGUUGCUGGUUGUAUGUGUGUUUUUGUAUAAUGCAGCCUAUAUUCAAUACUGUGCCUGCAAAUAUCACUAAUUAGCAAUACCAGUGACUUAGUAGAUGCUGUUUAGAGCAAGGGAAGGGGGACAGAGACUUCCUUUCCAAAAUGAUCUCUGUUUCUACA
This is a long non-coding RNA of Perognathus longimembris pacificus (Pacific pocket mouse), 1680 nucleotides long. RefSeq lists it as uncharacterized. The record is from RefSeq and is a predicted model, not a curated record. Lineage: Eukaryota; Metazoa; Chordata; Mammalia; Rodentia; Heteromyidae. The transcript is spliced from 4 exons.